AUUGAACGCUGGCGGCAGGCCUAACACAUGCAAGUCGAACGAGUGGCGGACGGGUGAGUAAUGUCUGGGAAACUGCCUGAUGGAGGGGGAUAACUCCUGGAAACGGUGACUAAUACCGCAUACCAUCGGAUGUGCCCAGAUGGGAUUAGCUAGUAGGUGGGGUAACGGCUCACCUAGGCGACGUUCCCUAGCUGGUCUGAGAGGAUGACCAGACACACUGGAACGGAGACACGGUCCAGAUUCCUACGGGAGGCAGCAGUGGCGAAUAUUGAACAAUGGGGGAAAGUCUGAUGCAGCCUUGCCGCGUGUAUGAAGAAGGCUUUCGGGUUGUAAAGUACUUUCAGCGGGGAGGCGUUACCCGCAGAAGAAGCACCGGCUAACUCCGGUCCAGCAGCCGCGGUAAUAC
RNAcentral lists this ribosomal RNA (406 nucleotides) under uncultured bacterium. RNAcentral's name for it is "partial 16S ribosomal RNA". It matches the Rfam family "Bacterial small subunit ribosomal RNA", at positions 30 to 526 of the family's 1533-position model. The record is from RNAcentral.